This 253-nucleotide ribosomal RNA is filed under the name uncultured bacterium. RNAcentral describes it as "partial 16S ribosomal RNA". It matches the Rfam family "Bacterial small subunit ribosomal RNA", at positions 524 to 776 of the family's 1533-position model. The record is from RNAcentral.
UACGUAGGUUGCGAGCGUUGUCCGGAUUUACUGGGCGUAAAGCGCGCGCAGGUGGUCCUGAAAGUCGAGCGUGAAAGCUCCCGGCCCAACUGGGAGAGGCCGUUCGAAACUUCAGGACUUGAAGGCGGAAGAGGCAAAUGGAAUUUCCGGUGUAGCGGUAAAAUGCGUAGAUACCGGAAGGAACACCAGUGGCGAAAGCGAUUUGCUGGCCCGCCCUUGACACUCAGGCGCGAAAGCUAGGGGAGCGACCGGG